GGUUUUAACCCAAGUUAACCAAGGUUAGCAUGGAAUUCGACCUGUUGAAAAACUGUGUUGAACACAAUAAUUUUUGGAACAGCUUCUCCGGGGUUUCCGGAGAGGCGGA
Molecule: small RNA, 109 nt
Filed under: Caenorhabditis brenneri
Lineage: Eukaryota; Metazoa; Nematoda; Chromadorea; Rhabditida; Rhabditidae
Description: snRNA CBN33695
Rfam family: SL2 RNA
About the family: This family represents SL2 RNA.
Source: Rfam by way of RNAcentral